Long non-coding RNA from Talpa occidentalis (Iberian mole), 492 nucleotides. RefSeq lists it as uncharacterized. Lineage: Eukaryota; Metazoa; Chordata; Mammalia; Eulipotyphla; Talpidae. The record is from RefSeq and is a predicted model, not a curated record. The transcript has 3 exons.
GGAGGAACCCUGGAAAACACAGCUAGAACCGCAUGGUGUUCCUCCAAAGGGCCUCCUGAAAUGUGCAAGCUCAUUAGUAGUAGUAUUUCAUGCAUCUGCUGGGAGUGGACCAGGGCUGAUGUGAGUUGUCCUGAUUCAGAGAACAAAAGAAUGGAAAGGAACAAUAGAGAUCAUGCAUGGCAGUUCUCCAAAUUCAUAAAUGUGGAAACACAGCCAAAGAGAAGCCUCAUUUACAUAAUGACUCCAUACGAUUGCUACACACUGGCAUGAGAGAAAGACCCAUUUGUCUGCUGACCUGCUGAAUCCACCACCAAGGGAAAGCACUGUGAAGAGGCACAACACUCUAGACACAUUUGGUUGGAGAAGAGUUAGAAGCCACUGAAAAUGAUGUUCUCAGCAAAGAUGAUGGACGGGGUCCCUCCCUUAGUGGACAAAGGAGAAGAUAAACUGCUUGACCAAAAUGACCAGAGUAAGAAGAGGAAGCCAAUCAGA